GCCUUAAUGGUGGAAUGGUAGACACGACAGACUUAAAAUCUGUUGAGCAUUGGGCUCGUGAGGGUUCGAGUCCCUCUUAAGGUA
Molecule: transfer RNA, 84 nt
Filed under: Turicibacter sp.
Lineage: Bacteria; Bacillati; Bacillota; Erysipelotrichia; Erysipelotrichales; Turicibacteraceae
Description: tRNA-Leu
Rfam family: tRNA
About the family: Transfer RNA (tRNA) molecules are approximately 80 nucleotides in length. Their secondary structure includes four short double-helical elements and three loops (D, anti-codon, and T loops).
Source: RNAcentral